The sequence is a transfer RNA, 85 nucleotides long. It matches the Rfam family "tRNA". Rfam says of the family: Transfer RNA (tRNA) molecules are approximately 80 nucleotides in length. Their secondary structure includes four short double-helical elements and three loops (D, anti-codon, and T loops).
GAGAGGUGGCUGAGUGGUCGAAAGCGCUCCCCUGCUAAGGGAGUAAGGUGGUAACGCCUUCGAGGGUUCGAAUCCCUUCCUCUCC